UUCAACUUGAGAGUUUGAUCCUGGCUCAGAACGAACGCUGGCGGCAGGCCUAACACAUGCAAGUCGAGCGAACCCUUCGGGGUUAGCGGCGGACGGGUGAGUAACGCGUGGGAAU
Molecule: ribosomal RNA, 115 nt
Filed under: Paracoccus denitrificans
Lineage: Bacteria; Pseudomonadati; Pseudomonadota; Alphaproteobacteria; Rhodobacterales; Paracoccaceae
Description: 16S rRNA. Bacterial SSU
Rfam family: Bacterial small subunit ribosomal RNA
Source: RNAcentral